RNAcentral lists this ribosomal RNA (447 nucleotides) under uncultured bacterium. Its description in RNAcentral is "bacterial SSU rRNA". It matches the Rfam family "Bacterial small subunit ribosomal RNA", at positions 355 to 825 of the family's 1533-position model. The record is from RNAcentral.
UGGGGAAUAUUGGACAAUGGGCGCAAGCCUGAUCCAGCCAUGCCGCGUGAGUGACGAAGGCCUUCGGGUUGUAAAGCUCUUUUGGCGGGGACGAUAAUGACGGUACCCGCAGAAUAAGCUCCGGCUAACUUCGUGCCAGCAGCCGCGGUAAUACGAAGGGAGCUAGCGUUGUUCGGAAUCACUGGGCGUAAAGCGCACGUAGGCGGAUUUGUCAGUCAGGGGUGAAAUCCCGGGGCUCAACCUCGGAACUGCCUUUGAUACAGCAAGUCUUGAGUUCGAGAGAGGUGGGUGGAAUUCCUAGUGUAGAGGUGAAAUUCGUAGAUAUUGGGAAGAACACCAGUGGCGAAGGCGGCUAACUGGUCCGGUACUGACGCUGAUGUGCGAAAGCGUGGGGAGCAAACAGGAUUAGAUACCCCAGUAGUCCCUGAGCGGGCUGGCAAGGCGCAU